AAUGUGAUCAGAAGGACCUGGAAAGGUCCGCCAUAGUGGGUGACAGCCCCGUAUGAGAAGCAUGAUUGGACGUAUCAAGUAGGGCGGAACACGUGAAAUUCUGUCUGAAGAUCGGAGGACCACCUUCGAAGGCUAAGUACUCCUUACUGACCGAUAGUGAACCAGUACCGUGAGGGAAAGGUGAAAAGCACCCCGAUUAGGGGAGUGAAACAGUACCUGAAACCGG
Molecule: ribosomal RNA, 226 nt
Filed under: Prymnesium parvum
Lineage: Eukaryota; Haptophyta; Prymnesiales; Prymnesiaceae
Description: partial Bacterial large subunit ribosomal RNA
Rfam family: Bacterial large subunit ribosomal RNA
Source: RNAcentral